Magnolia sinica is the source of this 1540-nucleotide long non-coding RNA. RefSeq lists it as uncharacterized. The record is from RefSeq and is a predicted model, not a curated record. The transcript is spliced from 4 exons. NCBI's taxonomy places the organism in Eukaryota, Viridiplantae, Streptophyta, Magnoliopsida, Magnoliales, Magnoliaceae.
UAUGCUCUAUACUAAACUCUUAUUGUGAUCCCUAAUGUUCCACUCAGGGAAUCAAAUUUGUCUUGGAGAGUAACUCAGCUAUCUAUCAGAUCCUAAAUGUCACAUUCUAGCAUGGUUAGAAUCCAUGCAUGUAUGAUUUAUAAGGGAUUUAACUCGGAAUGGUGGUGGCUGAAACUGAGUCGACUUGGAUGAGUUGGCUUGGUGUCAGCAAGUGUUGAUGCCAUUGUUCUAGUUUGCAAUCUCCUUCCAUAGCUGGGGAAACAUAUAGAACUUGUUUCUGUUAUGUUACUCAGUUUCUUCUCAAUUGCCUCAGUAUUUUUUACUUGCUAAUUUGGAUAAGAUUGUCUAUUCAGUGUGCACAGAGAGUUAGUGCAAACACAUCUUCUAAGUCCCACCAUCCAACAAUUUGUGGGUGGGAAUAUUAACAUGCAUUUCAAACUUGAGUAUUGAGAAUUCAAAUUUCAAAGUGCCUAUGGAUUCCUGCCAGCUGCCAUUAAAUAGUGGGAGUUGAUGAAUUGUUUGGUCCUUCUAUAUGAUGGUUGGCUUUAAUGUAUAUUUUUUUGUUGUGGCUGUGUAAAUUUUUUAGUCCACAGAAAUCUCAUCAAGGGGCCAAAGCAUUUGGAUAUGUUUGAAGUAGAUUCACGCUUCCACUGUCGCCAUUUCUAGGACUGAUUGAUGCCUCACCUGCACUAGUACCUACAUGGUUUGAAGCUCAUAUUGGAUGAAAAUGGCUGUCGAUCAAAGUCUACGGGCAUGCUCCAUCCACACCGAGAUCCAUCAAAUCAAGUCUGGAUUACCACCUGCACUGCUUAUAGAGAAUUGACCCAAGACAGUUUUCACACCCCAAUGCACCAUGGUGCCCAUUGCUUCUGUUCUGCUCAUGGUUUGCUAGUAAUUUACUCAAGGGGCAGACAGUUGGAGUGAUCGGAGAAGAAACUCCUGCAUCAAAAACCAAUGAGAACAGAUGGAUAAGAAUGAAGUGCAGCCACAAGGUCCUUCCCAAUGCUCCAAAUACAAUGGCCACAUCAAAAGAACAGGUGGUCUUCAUCAAUUCAACUUCUGUGAUUCUCUUUUACUCAGAACUAGUCUUCUUUUUUUUUUUUCUUUUUGAAAAAUUCCCGCAACUUUUUCAUCUUGAUUUUUUACUUUUAAGCUAUAAAUGCCUUUUUCUCAUCUUUGUGGUGACUAGUCAAUGGUAAAAAAAAAAAAAAUGAAAGUCUAGUCAAAGACUCCAUGCACAGAAGCUGUUUCUUGAGGGGAUUGAAUUUGUUUGUGUUUUUUGAGUAUUGGGUCCCUUUAUUUGAUGUUUUAUAGGCCUUUGAGGGAGUGGAAUGUGGGAAAGAUUGGAUUUUUGAAGAGUUGGUUGAGACUUAGAGGUUUUCUGUUGGUGGAGGCUUUUGGCAUUGGAAGUUGGGAUUAUUUUUUUUUGUUCUGAAUCUUUGUUUUUUGGACCUUUUUUGUCUGAAGGGGUGUUUGGUUUCUGGGUUUUUGUUAGAAAAAGGGGACGUGAAGUUAGAGGUUUUUAGCUUAAAAGAUGGGG